CCUGGCUUUAGGACUUCAGAUACAAUCAUGUCAGAGCUCAGGGCUUCAACAUAUGAAUUUUGGGGGCACAGUUCAGUCCAUAGCAAUACUUCCAUUCCCCUGACCUGCAACAUGUCCAGUUACUUCGAAAAGUACUUGUCAUCCACUAUAUUAAUAACAUGCUCAUUGCCAGCCUAUGAAACAAGUUGACCACUCCAUACAUAAGGUCAUAGAUAAUAUGACACAUGCAGGUUGAGUUGUCAGCCCUGAUAAGAUCCCAAGACUUGCCCAACAAGUGCAGUCCCUGGAGCUACCUGGUCCAGUAAUUAGAGGAGUAUUCCUGAUAAAGUCAAAUAUUGUCCUUGGCAGCCCCCACCUAAAAGAAGCUCAAUAGCUGGUAUGCCUGUUUGUCUAUUGGAGAUAACAUGUAUCACAUCUGAGUAUUAUUUUGCCUCCUUUAGUUAAAAUUACCCACAACACAGCCACCUCUGAAUGGGGCCCUCAACAACAGCAGACUCGAGAGGCC
Molecule: long non-coding RNA, 505 nt
Filed under: Homo sapiens (human)
Lineage: Eukaryota; Metazoa; Chordata; Mammalia; Primates; Hominidae
Description: LHRI_LNC798.1
Source: RNAcentral